UUCCAACAGGAGAGAAUUAAA
RNAcentral lists this non-coding RNA (21 nucleotides) under Caenorhabditis elegans. Lineage: Eukaryota; Metazoa; Nematoda; Chromadorea; Rhabditida; Rhabditidae. The record is from RNAcentral.